GCCUCCAGGAUGGUCCUCUAGAAGGAAGAGAAAUUUGUAUCCUCUUGAUCUGGAGACUCUGGGAAAUGAAAUAGAGGGAAACAGGAAUGAGGAACUGGAGAGGAAUUGCGUUCUAAGAUGACUUACAGUGGUGUGCACUUGAAUAUGCCACAGCAGUCAGAGAGUCCUACCCAGGUUCAAGAGGAGAAGACUUUGACUCGACCACUUAAUGGGAGAAGUUGCUAUAUUUUAAAAGGUUAUGUGGGAUGGGAGAACUGCUACAGCUUUGGAAAAUAUAAUCUGCCUGAAA
This 289-nucleotide long non-coding RNA is filed under the name Mustela putorius furo (domestic ferret). RNAcentral's name for it is "lncRNA (ENSMPUG00000029454.1)". Lineage: Eukaryota; Metazoa; Chordata; Mammalia; Carnivora; Mustelidae. The record is from RNAcentral.